This 4956-nucleotide long non-coding RNA is filed under the name Sus scrofa (pig). RNAcentral describes it as "lncRNA (ENSSSCG00025021393.1)". The record is from RNAcentral. Lineage: Eukaryota; Metazoa; Chordata; Mammalia; Artiodactyla; Suidae.
UUGGUCAUCUCUUUAUGAGCUCUGAAGGGCCUAUUAGCAGCUCUGAUGAGUACUGGGGGAGAUGAAGUCGGCCUCGAACAACGUUAGCCGGCAGAAUCAAAUCACUCCCAGUCCCCUGGGGAGAAGAAGACGGGCUGGCUUUCAGACGCAGCGUCCUCGCCUCUCCAUCGCCCAGAAGGUUUAUAUGAACACUCCGUGGGGGGAAAAAAAGAACCAAGUGACACUCAGAACAUGAGCUGAAAUGGAUUCCUCUUCAUCAGAGGUGGGAAGGACACCAUCGUAUUUUUUUGUCAAUAAAAACAAUAAGAAACACUGAUUGAUUUACCUUCCUGGAGUGAAGAUAUUUUUCUUCCACCUUAGAAAAGGCAUCUUUCUGCCCAAGACAUGUCUGAUCAGCAAUUUCUGAUGCAUCAAAGAAAAAAAUAGAUGGAAGGUUGGAAGUUCUCACGCUCCCUCCAGUUUUGACAGGUGGUGUGGUCGGUACCUAAACUCCGAAAUGUCCAGAGAAGGUGCUCCUUGAAAGGCCUGUAGCCUAAUUUUAAACAGAAACUUCCACUCGAAUCUAAGUGCUCAGAAAAAGAAAAAUCCAUCUGCAACAGUGUAUCUCAAUCUGUAAUGUGACCACAGAUCACCUGGUGAUCUUGUGAGACUGCAGAUUCUGGCUCAGUAGAUCUGGGUUGGGGCCGGAGAGCCAGCUGUUCUCACAAGGCCCUUCACGAUGGAGGUGCUUGUCCCCUGACCAUACCUCAGGUAUCGAGGGGCUACGUGGCUCACCCUGAGCAUGUGUGUCCAAGCCAUGAGACAGCCAGUUGUCAAGCUGAUCACUCUUAGUCAACGCAGGAAAUCAUCCAAGAAAAAUGAAAAUGACUCCCGGGUUCCCAUGAUCACCUUCAAAGCCACCUUCAUCUUGAACAGCCAGUAGGGUUUGUAAAUGUGGUUAUGUUUUCCUAAAUUGGCACUCCUGCCAGACGAGUUUCCACCACUACAUAAUUUUAUAAAAUCCUAUGAUUAUAGGAAAAAAUAAAGGUUUUUUCUUUUUUGGGGGGGGCACAUCCAUGACAUAUGGAGGUUCCCAGGCUAGGGUCGAAUCCGAGCUGUAGCUGCCAGCCUACACCACAGCCACAGCAAUAAGGGAUCCGAGCCAUGUCUGUGACCUACACCACAGCUUAUGGCAACACUGGAUCCUUAACCCACUGAGCAAGGUCAGGGAUCAAACCCGCAACCUCAUGGUUCUUAGUCUGAUUCAUUUUUGCUGUGCCACGAUAGGAACUCUGGUUUUGUAAUUUUACAAUGAUCCUGAUUACAGCAGGGAAUGAAAGGAAGGUUUCAUAUAGAGGUUUGCAUCCACGCAGACACAUGUAAACCUCACUAAAACCCAAUGAGAAUGGUGAAGAAACCGAGGCCCUGGGAAGCAAAAUCCAAGAUUGGCUCUAAGCUCCGCCAUUAUUUCAUGGGAAUGCAGUGGCCUUCACAGUCUCUGUUGAGAGGUUCCUCUUUGGUUUUCCCCCUUUGAUGCUCAAGCCUGAUUUCUUCUCAUUGGGACCUAACAUAGAGCUAGACAGCAACCAAGUGUACAUCCCCACUCUCUCCAAACCUCUGCUUGCACCCAUUAAAACUGGGUAUCCAUAGGGUCCACUUCAGAGAACUGAUAGGGAAUCAACCUUAAAGGGAUCACGCUGCAAGGAUCCCAUGUGAAGGAGACACAAAGCCUAUGGUGAUCCCUCCACCCAACCAUGGAGGCAAAAUGAAGGGAAGGGCAGGAGCCCAAAAUCUGUGUUCCUGGCCCCAGAAAUCCACCGCCCAGUCAUUUCCUGCAUGUACUAACUUCCUCUCCAUGGCACCCAGUUACAGGGCUCCAUGACAGCAGGGCAGGGAGUGGCCAAGGGCUGAAAUGAAAUUGUGACUAAUUUCUGCAUAAACCAUGGGUAUGCCAGGAUUAGGAUUUCCACCCCCAUCUCGUAACUCUUUGACCUUUUAUGAGUGGGGUGUUGGGGAAAUGACCACGGAAGGGGUGACUUGAAUGCAGUUGGGGUAUCUGAGACUGCCAAUUCCUUCUAAACCUGCACAUGGCAUAGUUUACUGGGAAAUAGCUCAGCUCCAGAACCUGGCUUGGAAGCCUGAUUCUAACUUCCCAGGUGUAUGACCCAGGGCAAAGCACUUCACCUUUCUGUGCUUUAGUUUCCUCAUCUGUAAAUGUCUUAACAUUUUUGUAAGGGACAGAUGAAAUAACGCACAUGCUGCUCUUAUUUACAUUCCUGCCUCACAGUAAGCACUCAAUAAAUAAUAGCGAUUGCUAUUAUUUUUAUUUUAUCAUCAUCCUGCCAAUAUAACUUAAACCUUUUCGCCAUAACUCCUCUCUUUUCACAGUCUGGGUUUAGAGAGUCAGACAUGGUUUGACACCAAAGUUUCUUUUUUUCUUCUUUUCCCCAGUAAACACAGUCAGAGUCCCAGAGUUUCUCAUGAGAUGAAAUUUUUUUUGUGGUAUUUAAUUCGGCAAAAGGUAAAUGCUAAUUUUUUCCAGCUUUAUUGAGAUAUAAUUUACAUAUAACAUUUUAUAUAUUUAAGGUAUACAACAUAACCAUCGAGAUAUAUAUACUUAGUAUUUUCAUAUGGAAUAGCCACUGGAAAUAAUUGUCCUUCAGUGCUGGAAUAAAGUAUCGUAUCUUGAAAAAACGUAGCAAGGGAGUCUGAUCUAAAAUGCUAAAUCUUACAGGGAGGUGGUGUGUCGCAGGAACAUGGUAGAAGAUUCUAAGGUCUUACAUGGGCUCGAUGAGAGGGAAAGAUGAUUAACUGGUGAUGUCCAAUAUGGCCACAGUACUGGGAAAUUGACAACAGAACAAUCACGCUAUUCUUUUGCUUUCCUUGUGGUGUGGAAGACAGCAACGGCCUUGGAGUCAAAAGAGCUGAUUCAAUCCUGACUUUGUCCCUUAAUGAAUGGUGUGGCUUUGAACAAAUUACCCAGAAUUCCAGGCCCCAAUUCCUGACUUUUAUGAAUGGGGGCUACUCUGAGUAUUCUAUGAGUUGACUACACAUAAUUUAGUUUUAGACAUAGCAUGAGGACUGACAAUAUCAAAUCUCUCCUUGACUCUUCUUCCACCUCCAUCUCUCCUUUUUCUCUCCCUCCCUUCCUCUUGCAUUAUCCCUUUAUAUUUUCUGAAGACUGGCUAGUCAUCCUCUCCUUUCUCCCCUUGAUUUCUCUGAUGACCCAUCCCCACACAAUUUCCACUUGAAUAGGAAUAUUUCCACCCUUCGCCCAGAGCACAAGCGUUGGCCCCCAGUUCUGAACCUGUAGGAUCAGGGAAUCUCAUCACAUUGCUGGUGGCUUGCACUAGACAGCCUUGCACAAAAUAUUGUUGGGAAAGCUUAACCCUCAAAGUCUCUGCUAACUAUUCUAGAAAACAGACCAUUCAGAAGCCAUCAUUGAUUGACUAAACUCCUCUGAAAUACCUGUUUUCUUUUGGUCAUUGGGGAUACAGAUAUGAAAGAGAUCAUCUUGUACCGGACAGGUGGAGUAAUUAAAUUACCUUAGGGGCUGAAAGCAGAAUUCCUAGAGGAGGCCAGAGCUGAACUGGGUGUUAGAAUUUAUUUCAGCAGAGCAGGGAUAGCUUAUGAAAGGCACAGGGAUUCCCAAGCAUAAAAUCAUAGAAGCCCAGAGGUGGGCACAUUCUAAUACCACCAAUUCCCCUGGGAGGGCCUCUCCCCACUCCACCCUACCCCUCACCUGCACCCCAUUUCCUAGAAAACAUCUCUACUUCCAUCCCAUGAUCCAGGCUUACAGCUUUCACCUUAGUCACCUCUCCCAGCAUGAGUGAGCCUGUAUCCCAGGCUCUCUGGCUUCGUUACUAUCUAAUCCAUCAACCCAGCCCAGUGAAUUUCAAAGAGUAACCCAAAGGGAACACCCAAACAAGAAUCACCUGGGGAGAUUAUUAAAAGUGCAGUGUUCAGGGCUCCACCCAUGAUUUUCUGAGUCAGAAUAGCAGGGAAGAGAUUACAGGAGCCAGGAGUCUACAUUUUCAUAAGAUCUCCCCUCAAUUUCACUGUACACCCAAGAUUGAGAACUAUAGACUCCAUCCUUGCUAAGGUCACAUGAGUUGAUAACAGCUUACCCUUCCUGGAAACUUACUGAACAUCUUCUAUAGGCCAGUCAUUCUGUGAAAAAAGUUCAUACAUGUCAUGUCUUUAAAAGUGAUCAUGCAAUUGAUUUGUGCCCUGGUUUGAGCUGGGUUCAAAUAUUACGUUUAAUCCUCUCAACAACUUUAUUGACAACUGCAUAGAAUGAGAAUAAAUUCUACAGAGUUCCUGACGUGGCACAACAGGAUUGGUGGCAUCUCUGAAGCACCAGAAUGCAGGUUUGAUUCCUAGCCCAGCACAGUGGGUUAAAGAAUUCAGCAUCGCCUCAGCUUCGGCAUAGGUUGCAGCUGCAGCUUGGAUCUGAUCCCUGGCCCAGGAGCUCCUUUUGUCACAGGGUGGCCAAAAAAAGAAAAGAAAAAGGAAAGAAAGAAAGAAAAAUUCUGCAAGGUGUAGUUUCCUCCCAAAUAGUUUGAAGUUGAGAAGUAACACACAUAGAUUUGGUGUGUAUGUAUCUUUGUGCCCUGACUGCUGGCACUGCCUGGCCGCACACAGGACCAUUUGCCCUGCCUUCCAUAUUGGAAGCUCUCACACACCCUCUCUCAGGCCUGGCUUGUGAGUGUCUUCUCCAUGUAGGAACCUGCCGGGGCAUUCCCAUUGUGGCUCAGCGUGUUACAAGCCCGAAUAGUCCAUGAAGACACAGGUUCGAUCCCUGGCCUUGCUCAGUGGGUCAAGGAUCUGGACUUGCUUCAAACUACGGUGUACGUCACAGAUGUGGCUCAGAUCUUGGGUUGCUGUGGCUGUGGUGUAGGCCGGCAGCUGCAGCUCUGAUUGAACACCUAACGUGGGAACUUCCAUUUCCAUAUGCUGCCAAUGUGACCCAAAAAA